UUCAGUUCAGUUCAGUUCAGUUUAUUUUAUUUUUGCACGGCACCAACUUCAGCCAAGGGCUGUUCUUCUGUUGUGAUCCACAGUCCGGUGACAUAUCCACUCGACCACGAUACCUUUACAUAAAUCCAGGCUUUCAAGUAUCCAACUCAAGGGCAUUAUCUUAUUUUGAUCCCCAUAGAAAUCAUGUUUAUAUUACAUAAUAUGACAUUUUUAUAAAUUUU
Molecule: long non-coding RNA, 221 nt
Organism: Strongylocentrotus purpuratus (purple sea urchin)
Lineage: Eukaryota; Metazoa; Echinodermata; Echinoidea; Camarodonta; Strongylocentrotidae
Exons: 3
Source: RefSeq, a predicted model, not a curated record